RNAcentral lists this long non-coding RNA (831 nucleotides) under Capsella rubella. Its description in RNAcentral is "long non-coding RNA (CRUB_LNC003871)". The record is from RNAcentral. Lineage: Eukaryota; Viridiplantae; Streptophyta; Magnoliopsida; Brassicales; Brassicaceae.
UUGUAACAUUAUUUUAUUAGAGUCUAAUAUAAUUCUUCUUUUAAACACUUUUGUGUUUUUUACUCUCAUCAAUUUAUCAUGGUAUCAGUGAAACUGUUUCACUUCUAAGGUUUCCUCCAAACUUAUCAUGGUAUCAAAGCCUUGAUCAUGUUCUGAUGGGCCGGGUUAGAGUUCUCGUUUGCUUCCGCUUCUAUAAUUUUCUUUUUUUUUUGAUUUUUUUUUUAUUUUUUUCCCUAUUCAUUCAUUAAAAAAAAUACUUCUCUUAUUUUCUUUCUUUCUACCAAAAACACGAAAAAAAAUACGAGGUUGUUCGUGUUCAACUUGGCCGUGUAGGAAAGCCAACCACGUUGAUGUUGUGGAGACUACACCGACGAAAGUGACUCAUGUUUGUGGUUUGGGUUUUUUAUUGGCUAGCUUGCUAGUUGGUGACGAUCGUUUAUGAGCCAAUGAUGGUUCUAAUACUUAUUAUGAUGGUCAUAAGAGGUUGACCAUGACUCCAACGAUGCAGUGGAGAUAUGGAGACGAUGAUAACGACGGGUACGAUGCUAAUCCGGUGGUGAUGGAUUUAAAUUUUGACUAUGGUUUCACAAGUUUCUUCAUGAACAAGAAAUUCGAAGAACAACCAACACUUGUGGUUUAAAUCGAUAGGAAAUACAUAACUACCAGAGAUGUAUUUUUAACUUAUUUGACUCUACGACUGAGUCAAAUUGGUUCAUUUUUUGAUAAAGUUAAUAAUAUUUCUAUUUUAUCUAAAUAUUAACAAAAUUAGAAUCGACACGUGUCAAUAUCCUAUCGUUUAUAAUUAACACAUGUCACGAUUUUGUUAGUGGC